UUUAAAUUUCGAGAGUGACUCACAUUCUUUGUUCUUCAUACCGGAACGAUCUGUUUUCUGCGUAACCGUGGGACCACAUUUUGAUAAUUUUCCAGGGGAUCUGGAAUGCAAAUGUGUCUCGUGAGUUUAAAGGUUUUGCUUGGUCAAUGGUGGUUGUUUCUGUAGAAGUGGUGAGGAGAGCAUUAACCACGUAUUUUUGCAUUUCCGGUUGCUGUUGUCCUAAGGCAGAGAUUGUUGGAUAUUUUGUUGAUAAGAAGCUCCCUUUCACAGCUGUUAGUUCCGUAUAGGCAGGUGGUUGAAGCUGGGCCUUGUCACUUUGGGGGAAAACUUAUGGUGUUGAAACAAUGGCAACCCCAAAUGAUCCUGGUUAAGAUACGAGUCCUGUAAGGUGUUUGGGCAUAAGACUUGUCAGUCUAAGAAUGUUCCUAUAAGCUCUAAAUCACAGGUGUGGGUUGUAAAACCACAUGUUGCUCCUAUUGCUGGUGAAGUUCUAGCUCCAUUUGUGUGGGAUGAGGGGGUUGGUGUUGCUGCCUUGGGGCUCUCCUGUUUCUGUUUUAGCAGUUACUAAUGGGGCUGUUGAAAGGAUUCCUACAGUUGUGGACAUCAUGAAGAAGAAUGUGGAUGAAAAAGUACAGUCAAAAUGCUGAAAAAACAAUCACAAAACCAGUCACAAAUCCCGGGUCCAUUUUCACCUCAAAUCGGGCAAUUGCAGCAGCUUCCCAAGAUUGAUUUCCGCAACUUUUCCGGCCCAAUUGCGUUGCUCUGAUUUUGUUACCAAUUGAAGUCAGGAAUGUCUUUUUUUUUGCUUUGUUGUAAGGUUGUGAACAUAGUAUCGGUUGGCCAAUUUCGGGUUUUUUUUUCUUCCCGGUGUUUCCUUUGGCGGGCUCUCAAGGUUAUACCCUUGGCCAUUUUUUUGAUGUGGUUAAAAGAAUGGGAUGUAUGGCUAAUUUGUAUUGAAAUUUUGUUGGACCAUGACCUUGUUUAAUGGCCUUGUGUUUUGCGGUUGUGUUUUGGACUGA
Long non-coding RNA from Rhododendron vialii, 1019 nucleotides. RefSeq lists it as uncharacterized. The record is from RefSeq and is a predicted model, not a curated record. The transcript has 2 exons. NCBI's taxonomy places the organism in Eukaryota, Viridiplantae, Streptophyta, Magnoliopsida, Ericales, Ericaceae.